Dermacentor albipictus is the source of this 3342-nucleotide long non-coding RNA. RefSeq lists it as uncharacterized. NCBI's taxonomy places the organism in Eukaryota, Metazoa, Arthropoda, Arachnida, Ixodida, Ixodidae. The record is from RefSeq and is a predicted model, not a curated record.
UCAGCAGCAGCAGCAGCUUGCCGCGUUCGAACGUUCCUCGGAUCCGUCUGUGGCUCCUGUUACUUGGCCAGGUUUUGGUGGCGUGAGCAGCAUCCCGGUGGCUCUGGUUCCUUCCAAUGGAGGCUCUAUAUGACUGAUCAACCCCCAGGCUAUCCACAAAUGUCUACGCGCUGCUACCUUUGCAUACCAGGCCAUCACAGAACGGAGACAGUUCGGCCGCGGAGGUGUCGUGUGUAGAUCACCAGACCAGACCUUUGUCACGGCUUUGCUUAAGUGUUCAUCAUUCGCGUCACUGUCGGUGAGUGCCUUCAUCCCUGCUCGCCUCUCAUGCACUAAGUGAAUAGUUAGAGGUGUCGAUGCUGAUCUAUAUCCAUCAGAAACAUUAGAGAGAUUGUCUGGGACUGAAGUAAUUGCUGUUUAGCUGCAAUCGAGUUGUAGACAAUAAGAGUGCCCCAACAGAAUCGGUGAUUGCAACGUUCGCAGGAACUUCCUGUCCAUCAAAACUAAUAGUGUUCAGAGUUGAACCUCUGGCAUCGCGUCCGCUACAAUGUCCUAAUUGCUGGCGAUACGGCCAUAGUAGUGCAGGGUGCAGGUCAAGUCAGCGUUGUUGCACAUGUUGGGAAGAGCACGAUCAAAGUGAUUGUAGUGCCCAAGAUGAGCGAUGUUGCCUCUGUGGUGGAAGUCACCCAGCCUAUUGUUCUGACUGCUCUGUUAGGGCUCAAGAAUUGCAGCUGGUAGAAAUGAUACGAUGUUGCUCUAGGAAGGAGGCGAUUGUGAAAGAAAGGGCGCUUGGCUAUGCGGGUGUUAGAGGUAGACAAACUCUUACCUCGGACGUAUCACUAACAGCAACUAUAUAUAGGCCGCUGUAAAAAAGGCAGUUACAAAAGCUAUGGAACGGCUGGCAAUGAGCCUCGGGGAAUGUAUAUCGCAGGUCAUCUCAAGUCACUUCUUUCAUUUGAUGCAAGCUAACUGUAUAAGUCCUGCAACGACCCAAACAGUUGAUCCUAAGCCACAAACUAGUGAUAGAAGCUCAGGUAGCCAUCCUUCUAAUGGCGGUAUCGAACCUUCGAACCUCUGUGGGGCCUGCUAAUGUUAAUCUGGUUAACACAGAUUUGGACAUGACAUGUGGAACAAAAAGCUCGAGUGUAUAAAAGAGCAAUGUCAUCAAUCAAUGAUUCCUCAUCCGGCCCUAACUAAAACGCCAAGAAUAGUCAGCCCAGUGCUAUACCAAAAGCAAGCAUUCUACAGAAGGCAGUUUCGGCUGCGGCACUUUCUAAACAAUAGGGUCACUGAAAGUGCUUCAGUGGAACUGUCGCUGUUUAUAUUCUGCUUUAGUAGAUUUAUCUUGUCUAACUACUCAACUUAACCCUUAUUUAAUUCUUUUACAAGAGGUUAAAUUCUGCAAAAUAUCUUCAAAUAAAAUUUUACACAUUAUUUAGUCUAGGCCAUCCUACUAGAGGCGGUGAGCUAAUUACAUUUAUUUCGUGUCAAAUUUGCCACAAGGCCAAAAUUUCAUUUCAGCUUUCCACUCCCGAGUGUGAAAUCCUAAUGAUACAGCUGAAUCUGUCUGGAUGUUGCUCCCUUUACAAUUGCAAAUGCAUAUUUUCCUUUUGACGUACAGGACACACGUACACUGGACAGGGUUCUUAGUUCUUGUGGAUGGGGCAUCCUACUGUCAGGUGACUUCAAUUCUCACCAUAUAUGGGAUUAAAAAUAGAUUUGUGUGGCACCAGAUUAAGAAACUGGUCAUUGGACGUACUAUGGGCCAGCGUGCGUAAACUCCGGAUCUAUUACGUUUAUGCGGGUUCGAUCUUACUCUGCAAUAUAUCUUAGAUUCUGUGGCCCGAAUCUCUCCGUCUUGGUCGACUGUUGAGUGCGCGACAAGCAGUGAUCACCUUCCACUGAUUUUUGAAGUAGCACACCCUGUAACGCUUAUGAGAGUGAUCAGGUGCCAACUUUCAUCAAUUACAAUAUUUUUAAAAAGUGCUCCUUCUGAUGCGUACACUGAGCAAAAAGACCACGAUUAUCUGCUGCGCUAUGGAAAGUUCUUGCAGAAAGUCUGAAUUUGAGAUUCAUCUAAACAACAGAAAUUCAUACAUCCCUUGGUGGAGUAAAGAAUGCGCUCGUGAUAACAGAAAGAGAAAACCCGUUUGGAAAAAAAUAACACAUAACCAGAGUCCCACAAAUUGGAGCGAUUAUAAAUUUUUGCGAGCAGUCUUUAAACAUACAGUAUCAAAAGGCAAAGACGAAUACGACUGCAAGCAUCUUGACUUCCCAUCUAACAAUAAAAAUAAACGUGUGCUGUUUAGUUUUCUCUGCAGUAGGAAAGUUCUUCCGCUUCUAAUUGAUAUUGCCUUAUAGUCUUAAGUAGUAAUGGAAUGAACCAAUCACUAGAAGAAGUCGCGAAGGGAUUAGAAAUUAGAUUUUCUUCAGCUUUGCCAAAUUGUUCUAGCUUACGAAGAGCAUCAGAUGAUUUUGCAGAAAUUACUAUGUUAGAAUUGGCUGAAAUCGUGGAGCGUCUGCCAGCUUCAGCUCCCGGGGCAGAUGGGGUAACCUCUGCCAUGAUCGACAUUUUAGUUAAGGAAGCUCCUGAUGACCUUUUAGCUAUUCUAAAUCACUCAAUGAGAUUUUCAUGGAUUCCGUUUGCAUGGAAAAUUGCUAAAAUAUUUCCAGUUCUUAAAAAUCACGGAGAAGGAUCUACAAUAAAUAACAUUAGACCAAUCGCACUAACCUCAAAUUUGGCGAAAUUAAUUGAAAGAAUCCUAUAUGCCCGUAUGCUUAAAUUUGUAGAGAGCAAAGGCUUGCUUAAUCCCUGCCAAAUUGGAUUCCGACUAUCAUGUUCAAUCUGGCAUGCUCACGUGGACUUAGAAAAUAGAAUAAAAUUAGCAUGGCGCCAAAGGCAGAUAGGGGCUAUUGUGACACUAGACAUCUCCAUACCCUACGUUAGUGUAGAAUAUGUGAAUAUGAAUUUUGAAAUGGGAGGAAAUUCUACUGCUCUCUAAGACGCUUUUCGAGCAUACAUAAUGAAUCACGAGGUGUUCCUCAAGGAGCUGUCACUUCUCCAUUAUUAUUCGUACUCCGUUUUUCUACUCUCUUAAUGGCUCGAAAUUAGUUUCCGUCAUUCCUACAAAUAUCUUGGUGUCCACAUUUCUAAUGACAUAACACGGCAUGAGCAGAUUCAUUAUGUAAUUAACAGUGCAAACCGCAUACUUGGUUUUUUGUGCCGCAACUUCUCUUCAGCCACCGUCUCACUGAAACUAAAGCUCUAUAAAACAUUAGUUAAGUCCAAAGUAGAAGUGCUCAUUUCCUCUGUUGAGGCUAUCCAGAACCGUUCAGCUCGUU